Molecule: non-coding RNA, 2318 nt
Organism: Podarcis lilfordi (Lilford's wall lizard)
Lineage: Eukaryota; Metazoa; Chordata; Lepidosauria; Squamata; Lacertidae
Source: the annotation of a GenBank genome assembly
CUCUAAGCACUGCACAGUGGCAUAACAGAAACCUAACAUUAGGGCAGUUCACUCAAAGUGGAUCAAAUUUCUCUCCCCUCUCCAUCUUUUGUCCUGCCACCUCCAGACAUGGUUCUCCAAAAUAUUUCUCUGCCUCUGUUAGUCCUACAGGACCUUCCCCUGAGUGAGUAUGUCCAGGGAUGGCAGUAAUGGGGUUCCCUGGAAUUCUGUGCCCAGGUUUGGGGCACUUCACAAAUACAUUGGGGGGGAUCAAUGUUGCCCCAUGGCAGAAGCCCCAUGGGAUGCAGAAUGGCAUUAAGCCCCGGGGGAGCCAUUUCCUCACAACUGCAGCUACCCUGCCUUUCUGCCUUUCCCAUUCUUCACCUUGGCCGCAUUUGCAUUCCAAAAGAGUUUGGCCCUGUGAGGGCCUGUCUACAGGGUGAGUGAUGCAAGCAUCGGUUUUCUUCCUCCUCCCCACAGAAUAUAAAUAUAAGAUAAUUAACACAGAGAAUGCUUAAGUGUCUAAUCAAUAGGAAUACAAGGCAUUUCCAUAUGUCAGGGCCUGCUGGAAAGAGGCAGCCACAGGCAGUCCCUGGGAAAGGAGAUUGCACUGCCAGGCCGUUUGGAAGGGAUCGAAGGCUGCCAUCUCUGUCACCGCCCCUUCCUCCCGCCCCCCGAAAAUAGACGCAGAGCUUUUGCAAAGCCGAGAAUUCAGGCUCUGCUUAAUCACCCCUCCCCCAGUCAGCAGGGGCUGCCCUCUGGAAAUUGCCACCCAGGGGUCUCAGUCCCUAACUGACUGGCUUUUGGGAGGGGAGUGCUGGAGGCAGGCGGAGGCACCCACUCCGUGUCCCGCCCCCAGCAGCAUCACCAAAGGCAGGAGGAGCGGCACCCCAAGAACUGACCAUGGUAUAAGAAGAUAAGAGGAACAGAAGAAGACCCCACCUGGUCUAGCAUCUUGUUCUCACAGAUGUCUGUGGAAAACCCACAAUCAGGACCUGAGCACAAGAGCACUCUCCUUUCCCAUGGUUUCCAGCAUCUGGUAUUCAAAAGCAUUGCUGCCACCCACUGUAGGGGCAACGAAUAGCCAUCUUGGCUAGUAGCCAUCGAUAGCCCUCUCCUCCUCCAUGAAUUUGUCUAAUCGUCACGUAAAACUGUCUAGAUUGGUGGCCAUCGCUGCCUCCUGUGGGAGUGAGUUCCAUAGUUUAACUCUGUGCUGUGUGACGAAUCCUUCUUUUUAUCUGUCCUGAAUCUUCCAGCAUACAGCUUCAUUGGACGCCCAUGAGUGCUAGUCUUAUGAGAGGAGGGGAGAGACACGGCUUCCCCGAGCUGGUGUUCCCCAUCAAGGAUGCCAGAGCCCUCCUCCCAGCUGAAAAGCACUCCUUCUUCAAGCAGGAAUCGAAGAAGUCAGGGGAUUCUCCAUCUGCAUCUUUUCUUUCCUUUGAAAUCCAGCAAGUCCUCUUGGAGUGACACCAGCUGUUGUGGCAAUUCCACAAGGCAUCUGCUUAUGAACUGACAGGUUCUCUGCUCAAGUGGUUUAUUAUGUAAAUGUUACUCACCAUAAAAAUCAAUGCUGUGGGGUUUUUGUUGUUGUUUUUUUUUGCUAAGUGGCCAAUAUUUAUUUGGCUCAAGUGUUGUUUAAUUUGAUGCAUUUAUUAGGGGACAGUCAAAUGCCCGAGCUGGUCCUUAAGCUGCUUCGUACUGCUCCCUCCAUGCCUUGAAGCCUCCUGCGCUUUUGUCCCUGUGCAUAACUCAAGGACGGGAGUAAUUGAUAUGAAACUUUUAGAAAUUAAUUUUGCUGCAUCUACCCCUAAGAGGGAGUGAGAGACUGUGGGAUCAUUUAUAACAUCACAGUUAUUGGCCCUGACAAAACAAUACCUUAAAAACACAGCAAAGUAAAUUAUGGCGCACGCAAAUGGCUCGGGCCAGCCAUGGCCCUGAAUUGGACGAUGGCCAGGCAAGCGAAAACAAAGUAAAUAUGCUUUUGAUAUUAAUAACACAGACAAUAUUGAUCCACCAGCCAGUGUCACUUGUCUGCUCCGCGAGGAGAUUGCUUCAGGCAUUUUGCCCCCCACCCUCGGGGAGCCUCCCUCCUUGCAGGCCAUUUAAUUCCGCCAGUCUCUAAUUGUAUCAGACAAACCCAAGUCAAAGGAAGGGACCCCUGCUUGCCAAGGUGGGCUGUUAGUCAGAAAGUUGUCAGAAACAAAGAUAACUCAAUUCCUGGGUCUCGGACGCCGUUGUCUUUCUAAAUGUUUAUCAGAUCAACAUCUCCUUUGGCUCGGAGCCUGCUGUGACUGGGGGGAUGUGAACUCCAAUUACAGUGCCAUAAUUUUUAAAAGGAC